GACACUAGGUCCAGAGGUCAGUCUGUGUGCGUAGAGACUGGGACUCAGGGUAAAGGGUAGGAGAUUAUCUUGAAGUACCAAACAUCAAUUCACCAAAAGCUACACUUUCGCAGACUUAGGAGAACUGGAGUGUAUUUAAGUCUCAAGAUGGUUCUGGGCAUGAUUAACCCUAUAUCGACCAAUCUAGCCUAAUGAGCUUUUUAAACUACAGAGUACACCGUCUGAUUUCUGAGGAAUGAAGACAGAGAUGCUGUUAAUUCCCCACGGCCAGUGACUAAUCAAUCGAGCCUGUGAAGCAGAACCUAACCAUCCUGAACGAAGAGUGCAGUGAACACAUCUCCAUGCCAGUGUCACCAAUGCUGGCAAAGAACUCCUGCACCAGGGACCGUCCAGACCCUGCAAGGUGUUGAAGAUGAAAAAAGGCAGAAGAGAAAAAGAAAGACAUUAAUGCCCGUCACCACAAACACUGUAAAGAAAUGACAGGAGAAUUGGGUAAACUUGGCCAAGCAAAGGUCUGGAAGCAAUGGCCGGAUUCACCAGAAGAGUACCAGGGGGUUACAGUAAAUGACAGUCCUCAGUCCCAACUGGUUAAUGAAUACAAUGGUGACUUCCAAAGAACCUUAGAAACCAUUUAGUUCAAUUUCUUCUUUUUUUUUCCAGAAACCCUUUUCUAGGAUGUUUGCUUGUUUGUUUAUUUAUUUAUUUAUACACACCUGCAUGUGUGCCUGCAGGCCAGAAGAGGGCACCAGAUCUCGUUAUAGAUGGUUAUGAGGCACCAUGUGGGUGCUGGGAGUUGAACUCAGGACCUCUGGAAGAACAACCAAUGUUCUUACCCUUUGAAGCCAUCUCUCCAGCCCAUUUAGUUCAAUUUCUACUUCUUCAUUUACAGAGCAAGAAAACUAGCCUCUAGUCUCAGCCACUUAAGUAAACUGAAAGAGGAAGUUCAACAUCAACUCAAAAUCCCAAU
Meriones unguiculatus (Mongolian gerbil) is the source of this 967-nucleotide long non-coding RNA. RefSeq lists it as uncharacterized. The record is from RefSeq and is a predicted model, not a curated record. NCBI's taxonomy places the organism in Eukaryota, Metazoa, Chordata, Mammalia, Rodentia, Muridae. The transcript has 4 exons.